This is a non-coding RNA of Dictyostelium purpureum, 46 nucleotides long. NCBI's taxonomy places the organism in Eukaryota, Evosea, Eumycetozoa, Dictyosteliales, Dictyosteliaceae. The record is from Rfam.
AUAAAGGUGUUUUUUAACACCACUCAUACCUAUAAGUUAAAUACUU